GUGGGGAAUCUUCCACAAUGGACGAAAGUCUGAUGGAGCAACGCCGCGUGAGUGAAGAAGGGUUUCGGCUCGUAAAGCUCUGUUGUCGGGGACGAAUGUGCAGUAUUUGAAUAAAGUACUGCAAUGACGGUACCUGACGAGGAAGCCACGGCUAACUACGUGCCAGCAGCCGCGGUAAUACGUAGGUGGCAAGCGUUGUCCGGAAUUAUUGGGCGUAAAGGGAGCGCAGGCGGGAAGGUAAGUCGGUCUUAAAAGUGCGGGGCUCAACCCCGUGAUGGGAUCGAAACUAUCUUUCUUGAGUGCAGGAGAGGAAAGUGGAAUUCCUAGUGUAGCGGUGAAAUGCGUAGAUAUUAGGAGGAACACCAGUGGCGAAAGCGGCUUUCUGGACGACAACUGACGCUGAGGCGCGAAAGCCAGGGGAGCAAACGGGAUUAGAUACCCGUGUAGUCC
This 450-nucleotide ribosomal RNA is filed under the name uncultured bacterium. Its description in RNAcentral is "partial 16S ribosomal RNA". It matches the Rfam family "Bacterial small subunit ribosomal RNA", at positions 354 to 796 of the family's 1533-position model. The record is from RNAcentral.